GAUGAAGAACGUAGUGAAAUGCGAUAAGUAAUGUGAAUUGCAGAAUUCAGUGAAUCAUCGAAUCUUUGAACGCACCUUGCGCCCUUUGGACAUUCCGAAGGGCAUGCCUGUUUGAGUAUCAUGAACACCUCAACUCUCACGGCUUGUCCGUGAUGAGCUUGGACUUUGGGGGUCUUGCCGGCCUGUGGUCGGCUCCUCUCAAAUGGAUCAGCUUGCCAGUGUUUGGUGGCAUCACAGGUGUGAUAACUAUCUGCGCUUGUGGUUUUCCAUCAGAUAACCUUCAGUGAUAUGGAGGUUCGCUGGAGCUCACUAAUGUCUCUCCUUAGUGAGGACAGCUCUUUGAACGUUUGAUCUCAAAUCAGGUAGGACUACCCGCUGAACUUAAGCAUAUCAAUAAGCGGAGGA
RNAcentral lists this unclassified non-coding RNA (405 nucleotides) under soil metagenome. Its description in RNAcentral is "partial contains 5.8S ribosomal RNA, internal transcribed spacer 2, and large subunit ribosomal RNA". The stretch from base 1 to 121 matches the Rfam family "5.8S ribosomal RNA", at positions 35 to 154 of the family's 154-position model. The record is from RNAcentral.